CAGCAGCCGCGGGAAAACGUAGGGUGCAAGCGUUAAUCGGAAUUACUGGGCGUAAAGCGUGCGCAGGCGGUUCGCUAAGACAGAUGUGAAAUCCCCGGGCUUAACCUGGGAACUGCAUUUGUGACUGGCGGGCUAGAGUAUGGCAGAGGGGGGUAGAAUUCCACGUGUAGCAGUGAAAUGCGUAGAGAUGUGGAGGAAUACCGAUGGCGAAGGCAGCCCCCUGGGCCAAUACUGACGCUCAUGCACGAAAGCGUGGGGAGCAAACAGGAUUAGAUACCCCGGUAGUCCCUGUCUCUUAUAC
Molecule: ribosomal RNA, 301 nt
Filed under: uncultured bacterium
Lineage: Bacteria
Description: partial 16S ribosomal RNA
Rfam family: Bacterial small subunit ribosomal RNA
Source: RNAcentral